This 72-nucleotide transfer RNA is filed under the name Ictidomys tridecemlineatus (thirteen-lined ground squirrel). RNAcentral's name for it is "Spermophilus tridecemlineatus (thirteen-lined ground squirrel) tRNA". It matches the Rfam family "tRNA". Rfam says of the family: Transfer RNA (tRNA) molecules are approximately 80 nucleotides in length. Their secondary structure includes four short double-helical elements and three loops (D, anti-codon, and T loops). Further hydrogen bonds mediate the characteristic L-shaped molecular structure. tRNAs have two regions of fundamental functional importance: the anti-codon, which is responsible for specific mRNA codon recognition, and the 3' end, to which the tRNAs corresponding amino acid is attached (by aminoacyl-tRNA synthetases). tRNAs cope with the degeneracy of the genetic code in two manners: having more than one tRNA (with a specific anti-codon) for a particular amino acid; and 'wobble' base-pairing, i.e. permitting non-standard base-pairing at the 3rd anti-codon position. The record is from Rfam by way of RNAcentral. Lineage: Eukaryota; Metazoa; Chordata; Mammalia; Rodentia; Sciuridae.
UGGGGUGUAGCUCAGUGGUAGAGCGCUUGCCUGGCAUGUGUGAGGCACUAGGUUCGACUCUAAGCAUUGCAU